UUUUUUUAAUUAUUGCGGUUUCCAUUUUUCUUUUCCUGUUUCCUCCUGCAUGUGAUUUCAAUAUUUGAAUGGUUUUGAUGAAUAUUCAGUCACAAUCCCACAGCUGCUCGGUGAGUGGCUGUGCAGAAAGCCACUGGCAUCUGCCUGGCCACAUCAGCUGCUGAGCAUGACCUAUGCUUAAACGAUGCUCAGAUGCAUUCCUUUUAGAGGGAAGUUCCUCAGGUGGUUAACACACACUUAAUAGAUAAAAAUUUCUUGAGGCUUUCUUUUUCUCUUUCAUACUUUUGAACAGCAUAAGCCAGCUGAACAUCUGGAAAAAAAAUCAAGAAAAAUCAGGAAGCUCAAUCCUUCAAAAGAUGGCCCACCUGCUAAACAUUUUUCAGACGUUAGAAGCUCCUCUAAAUCACAGUGGUAACACAGGAAAGAAGACCGACUCCAACAACAACAACAGGAUUCAGAACUGCUCCGCUCAUUUGUUGUUUCCUAGACAGUCGCUGCACUAAGUAAGACAGCAGAAAGAGAAGAUGGCUACAGAAGCACUCAAGACAGCGUAUCACUUUACUGAGCUUGCUGUUCAACCAUGAGUAAUUUUGCAGCUUUGCAAGGGGAAGGAUGGACUAGACACAAGCAAGGAGCUCCUAACCAACCCGCUGACUCUGAAGCAGCAUGCCAGGACCACGGAUCCCCUGGGAAAACGGACUGAAGCCCAUGGUCAGUCAAUGUGCUGCAGCAGCCCCCAUUUCCAUCCCCAAGCCCACUUUCCAACCUACAUCUUUCUCCACACCUUGUGACCUACUGCAGCCCACAGCUUUGGUCUCCUUACCUUUGGUCUGUCUCGGAUACCACAACUAAUACAGCUUUCCUGCUUGCAGCCCUCCUUGCACGCAAGGCAAUGCCAGGAGAGUACAAAGAACAAUUUCACAAUGCUCUUCAGCAUCUGACAGUUGCCAAGGCUGCUGUCAACAGCAGCUGCUUUACACUGGUGGUAGAGUCCUGAGGAAUGCCAAGGUUUGUGCCUCUCUAUUUCACGUUUUCUGUGGAAGGGGUGGCCAUACCCCGGUAGCUACCUUCCGUGUUCCCACCAAGGGAGCUAAGCCUCAGCAAGCGCAAGGAGAUGCUCUUCAUGGAGAGAAGACUGAGGGAGGCCAACCAUCAAGACAAGAACUAUUCACCGGGGCAUGGCUGCUUGUCAAAGCACCUGCAAACUAAAUGUCAAAACAAAUAAUUUUAUCUGUCAGUUGUAUUCCUCUCCAUUGCCACAAUGCAGAGAGAGAGUUACUAUAGAAAUAACAGUUAUUCUUAAUAAAAUAAGUUUCUUCAAAAGUUCUUCCUCCAUUUAAUGUUAUUUGCUGUGGCAUAAGAAAGCCCCACCACUGUUCCCAAACUGUGAACAUUACUUAAGAAAGAAAUACACAGGGGUAGGUCAAUGACUAACAGAGAUACUGAUUGCACUGAAAUACAACAAUUUGCAAAAGGAAAGACGGAAUACACUGAAAUGUUCACUAAACCAAAUACACGUCAGAAAUUUCUGUGAAAUUGCAAACAGCCUGAUAGAUAUUCUCAAAAUAAUUUGUACAGUUUAAUUGACACGUAUCUUGUAUGCGCAUAGCAGGGAAUAAAGUCAUCCUAUCGCUUCCAUAGCAAAACAAUCAUAGAGUUUUCUUUCUCUUUACCACUUACAAACUACAACUGUGUGAGUUUUCCUCCUUUUUGUAUAUGAACUCAAGAUAGGAGAGAAUAUUCUGAUGGAGACUGAUGUGGGAAACAUUCAACCAGAGAGGCUGCCCCUCAGACACAAGGGAUUACACAAGUAUUCCUCAUGCAUAUAUUAGUCACCAGAUAAAAAGCUUUUGUAAAAUCAAUAUACAGAAAGAGAAACCAACAUACCGCUUUCUAAAACAGAUACUUUCCCAAUCCUCUAGCUAUGCAUGCCCUUAUUACUAAAAAUGCUGAUCCGCAUGUAUUUAAAUUCACUGCCUGAGUAGUCCUUUGCAAACAAACUCUGCAGUUAUUUACUAACACUUCAAAAAGUUUUGAUUCUAGGCAUUUUGUCAUCUUGAGAAAGGCAGGCUGUGUCUAAAGACUGCUGCUAACAGUAAUACAUCAUAAAUAAAUAGUGAAUUCCAGUGUAAGUCCUCAAGAGGAAAGCAAGACUAGUUUCAGUGCAACCUCUGGAAAAAAGUGCCCGGUGUAUCAUCCAAAAUCCCUGCUUGGGGAUUUCUAACGCUGCUCAGUGUUAAAAAGCACAUCAGCAAUGUCCAACCAAAGGCUAUUUCUUGAACACUACUUCUUGGGGCAGAGAGACAGAGAUUUCAGGAGACAUUACUGCCCACUCCACGUAGCCACAGUUGCUGUUUGGUUUCCAUGCUCCUGCAAGAACGACUGAAUAUCAUCACAGCCAACACCAUGGGCACAGGUAGAACUGGGGUUAAUGUAAUACUAAAGAAUUUGCCAGUGGAGUUUUUAUUUGCCUUUACAGUACUCAGCUUCUCCAUUUCUUGCUAGGAAAUUCUCUCAAACUGUACAAAAACAAGGAUUGAGAUAAAAAGCCCUUUGAUUUUUCACUUUGAUUAAUCUUCAGUUUCAGUGAAAUAGAGGUGAUAAUCAUUACAGACAGAAGUUGCACGUUAAGCUAGCUUCCUCCUAAAAGGAGCAAUCCCGAAGAAAAUCAAUCGGAUAGUUCAAGUGCUUAAUAUCUAACAGGAGUAAAAAUAAAUCUUUUUGCUUUCUCUGCUCACUGUAAAAUGCAGCUGAAGACCAUUUCUUCCUUGAGCCAACGAAUUUGAAUAUUCAUGGGAGAAGAAAGACAGAUAAAAAGCACAGCCCUGCUGAGUAUGAAUUUGCAGCUUAGUAACAGACUUUGCAAGUUACCUUACAAAUUCUCUUCUCGCUUUCAAAAGAGGUUGUCUAAGAUGUUGCCUGGAUAUCCUGUGACUUUUUAUUG
Molecule: long non-coding RNA, 2944 nt
Organism: Cygnus olor (mute swan)
Lineage: Eukaryota; Metazoa; Chordata; Aves; Anseriformes; Anatidae
Exons: 3
Source: RefSeq, a predicted model, not a curated record